GGGUAUACACAAAAUGGCCCAUCUGUCACGUCCACAGCCUGAACUCGCAGCUAUGUCGUUGCCUUUUAGUUUUUUACAACGGUCAGGGCAUCCUGAUGCGGCCAUUGUGGAAAACAGCGUCUUAGAUGGGUAUCUUGCGAUGACCCUAGAGUCAGAAGUUUAUGAAAGUACAAAAAUUGGUGGCUGGGUAGAGAUGAAACGAUCAAAUCCCAAGUAUUUGCAGUGGGCAGUUACAAUGUCUGAUACCUCUGUGGAUGAUUUUGGAUGGAGUUUGAGUCUUGGUGGUUUGCUAGGAGGUCCAAGAAAGUGGGACCAUUUUCAAGUGGAAAGCUCUCUCAAUUUCAACGUAGGAAAGAAGUGCAAGUUGCAACCAGGUCUACUCUAUGUGAUCGAUGGAGCCACUCAGUUUCCUGCAUUGAUGUUCCGCACUAAUUGGUCCUUAUGAAGUGUGC
This 452-nucleotide unclassified non-coding RNA is filed under the name Hevea brasiliensis (rubber tree). The record is from RNAcentral. Lineage: Eukaryota; Viridiplantae; Streptophyta; Magnoliopsida; Malpighiales; Euphorbiaceae.